AUUGAACGCUAGCGGGAUGCCUUACACAUGCAAGUCGAACGGAGUGGCGAACGGGUGAGUAAUGUCUCGGAACGUGCCCAGUAGCGGGGGAUAACUACGCGAAAGCGUAGCUAAUACCGCAUACUAUUGGAGCGGCCGAUAUCGGAUUAGCUAGGUGGGGGUGUAACGGGUAGCCAAGGCUACGAGCCGGAGCUGGUUUGAGAGGACGACCAGCCAAAGUUGGACUGAUACACGGACCAGACUCCUACGUGAGGCAGCCGGGGGGAAUUUUGGACAAUGGGGGAAACCCUUAUCCAGCCAUCCCGCGUGUGCGAUGAAGGCCUUCGGGUUGUAAAGCACUUUUGGCAGGAAAGCGGUACCUGCAGAAUAAGCACCGGCUAACUACGUGCCAGCAGCCGCGGUAAUUC
RNAcentral lists this ribosomal RNA (407 nucleotides) under uncultured bacterium. RNAcentral's name for it is "partial 16S ribosomal RNA". It matches the Rfam family "Bacterial small subunit ribosomal RNA", at positions 30 to 526 of the family's 1533-position model. The record is from RNAcentral.